RNAcentral lists this ribosomal RNA (432 nucleotides) under uncultured bacterium. RNAcentral describes it as "partial 16S ribosomal RNA". It matches the Rfam family "Bacterial small subunit ribosomal RNA", at positions 29 to 507 of the family's 1533-position model. The record is from RNAcentral.
AACGAACGCUGGCGGCAUGCCUAACACAUGCAAGUCGAACGAGACCUUCGGGUCUAGUGGCGCACGGGUGCGUAACGCGUGGGAACCUGCCCUUAGGUUCGGAAUAACUCCCCGAAAGGGGUGCUAAUACCGGAUAAUGUCUUCGGACCAAAGAUUUAUCGCCUUUGGGUGGGCCCGCGUUGGAUUAGCUAGUUGGUAGGGUAAAAGCCUACCAAGGCGACGAUCCCAAGCUGGUCUGAGAGGAUGAUCAGCCACCCUGGGACUGGAACCCGGCCCAAACCUUCCGGGAGGGGCGAAAGGGGGAAAUUGGAAAAACGGGUGAAAGCUGAAUCUCGAAAGGCCGGGGAAGUGUGUAAGGCGUGAGGGUUGAAAGUCUCUUUAACCAGGGACGAUAAGAAGGUACCCGGGGAAAAAGCCCCGGCUAACUACGUG